UAAUAAAUCAUUAUUGAAAACGUAUGAUUUUUUUCUCUGGUUUUUUCAUUGCACCCCCGAGGACGCCAGAUGAACGGUUUAGAGUCUGAUGUAAACGGCGUCUCAUUUUUCGGUGAUCAUAAUCGACUGCAUGGGAACUACAUUAGCGGCGUCUCGACAAGUGGUACGCUCAGCUGCAAUAGCUGACUCCGGUCAAGUGUCAUUUUCCCAAUUAUUCACCACGUGUAAACUCUACAAAAGCAAUACCGGUGUAUACUCAUAUUGUGUGCCAAGUAUAUACUAUAUAUACCUACACGUGUACAAAUUUUGAGCUGCCAUCGGCGUGCGAAUAAAAAAGAUACGAGUUAUGGUGACCUUUGGACAAAAGUACUAUACGCGCAAUCGUUCAUCUCUCCUGUACAAAUUGGCACACACACUGGAAAUCACUGUAUUUUUUAUAUACCGAUUCAGUUUAUCGUAUUAUGAUAUAAAUGAUAAACUAUAGAAAUAAUUGUUUUGGACGUUUUAGUAAGGAACGCGGUUUCAGUCUUAUACUCCAUCGUGGGCCCUCUUAUUGUAGCCAGUGUUUAGGUUCCGUGUGCGAUCGUCUUACCACAUUUAUACUGUAAUACAUUCGUUUUGCGGUGACGACAAAGAACGUGCUCAACAUCCCCGCUGCCGACACUUCCACCACUCGUCAAUAAGCCAACACUCAACAGACCAUAAAACGAAAUACUUGGCGUCCACAUACGAGGAUCGAAAUAAUAAUAAUAAUAAUAAUUACACUUUGGAGCGUGAAAAAUGACUAGAAUUUAUUUCUAGAGAACGUCGUGGUGUUCCGAAUAUCAUCUAUAAAACGUACCCAGAGGAGUAAUCGUUUCUUUAUCGGUGCCGACAUUGUGUGUUGUAUGACUUUACAGACUAUAUAGCUCGACGUGUUGCAGUGCCAAUAACAACUCUGGGGUUCCUAUAUCCCAUUCUAAAUCGCACUCCUGCCACAACCGUAUGAAAACAAAAAUAUAAAAACAGACUUCUUCCAAAAAUAUGUUUUGUCCUAUAAAAUGCUAUAAUUUACUGCAGCUGAAAGCCUGAGAAACAACAUGUGUUGAAUUAUCUCGGUGAAACCGUUCACUUCUAGAAUUGUUGUAUAGUAAUUUAUCAUCCAGUGACAUCUAUAGACACAUGUUUCAUAUCGG
Long non-coding RNA from Melanaphis sacchari, 1175 nucleotides. RefSeq lists it as uncharacterized. The record is from RefSeq and is a predicted model, not a curated record. The transcript is spliced from 4 exons. Lineage: Eukaryota; Metazoa; Arthropoda; Insecta; Hemiptera; Aphididae.